This 37-nucleotide non-coding RNA is filed under the name unclassified sequences. Its description in RNAcentral is "S4-Bacteroidia ribosomal protein leader". It matches the Rfam family "S4-Bacteroidia ribosomal protein leader". The record is from RNAcentral.
GAUUGCAAUUUUCACGACCUCUCUGCAAUCGCGGCUG